This 388-nucleotide ribosomal RNA is filed under the name uncultured bacterium. RNAcentral's name for it is "bacterial SSU rRNA". It matches the Rfam family "Bacterial small subunit ribosomal RNA", at positions 30 to 418 of the family's 1533-position model. The record is from RNAcentral.
AUUGAACGCUGGCGGCAUGCCUUACACAUGCAAGUCGAACGGCAGCGGGGACUUCGGUCCGCCGGCGAGUGGCGAACGGGUGAGUAAUGUAUCGGAACGUACCUUUCAGUGGGGGAUAACGUAGCGAAAGUUACGCUAAUACCGCAUAUUCUGUGAGCAGGAAAGCAGGGGAUCGCAAGACCUUGCGCUGAUUGAGCGGCCGAUAUCAGAUUAGCUAGUUGGUGAGGUAAAGGCUCACCAAGGCGACGAUCUGUAGCGGGUCUGAGAGGAUGAUCCGCCACACUGGAACUGAGACACGGUCCAGACUCCUACGGGAGGCAGCAGUGGGGAAUUUUGGACAAUGGGGGCAACCCUGAUCCAGCCAUGCCGCGUGAGUGAAGAAGGCCUC